CACCAGAUAAGACAGCUGAAUUGAUAGUCGGGCUGAAGACUCUACUUGACUAGCUGAGAGGAGGUGCAUGGCCGUCGUCAGUUCGUACUGUGAAGCAUCCUGUUAAGUCAGGCAACGAGCGAGACCCACGCCAACAGUUGCCAGCUCGUCCUCCGGGAUGGUGGGGACACUGCUGGGACCGCCUCUGCUAAAGAGGAGGAAGGAAUGGGCAACGGUAGGUCAGCAUGCCCCGAAUUAUCUGGGCUACACGCGGGCUACAAUGGGUGGGACAAUGGGUAUCGACACCGAAAGGUGAAGGCAAUCUCCUAAACCCAUCCUUAGUUCGGAUUGUGGGCUGCAACUCGCCCACAUGAAGCUGGAAUCUGUAGUAAUCGCGUUUCAACAGAACGCGGUGAAUACGUCCCUGCUCCUU
This 412-nucleotide ribosomal RNA is filed under the name uncultured Methanomicrobiales archaeon. RNAcentral describes it as "bacterial SSU rRNA". It matches the Rfam family "Archaeal small subunit ribosomal RNA", at positions 928 to 1338 of the family's 1478-position model. Lineage: Archaea; Methanobacteriati; Methanobacteriota; Methanomicrobia; Methanomicrobiales. The record is from RNAcentral.